RNAcentral lists this transfer RNA (85 nucleotides) under Limisphaerales bacterium. Its description in RNAcentral is "Verrucomicrobia subdivision 3 bacterium (hot springs metagenome) tRNA-Leu". It matches the Rfam family "tRNA". Rfam says of the family: Transfer RNA (tRNA) molecules are approximately 80 nucleotides in length. Their secondary structure includes four short double-helical elements and three loops (D, anti-codon, and T loops). The record is from RNAcentral. Lineage: Bacteria; Pseudomonadati; Verrucomicrobiota; Verrucomicrobiia; Limisphaerales.
GCGCGCGUGGCGGAAUCGGCAGACGCGCCAGACUUAGGAUCUGGUCCCGAAAGGGGUGGAGGUUCGACUCCUCUCGCGCGCACCA